Molecule: long non-coding RNA, 151 nt
Organism: Bufo bufo (common toad)
Lineage: Eukaryota; Metazoa; Chordata; Amphibia; Anura; Bufonidae
Exons: 4
Source: RefSeq, a predicted model, not a curated record
GCAUCAAUCCCUGUAUAGGGCACAGAGCUAUGUAAUGGAACAGUGUCCUCCUUGUUUAAUACAUCAGCAAUUCUAUUAUGCCUUGAUUCUCAAAUUGGGGUGAAUAAGCUGUCUAGUUCAACUGUUAUUGGGGAGUCCACCUUUUUUAAAA